Molecule: ribosomal RNA, 253 nt
Filed under: uncultured bacterium
Lineage: Bacteria
Description: partial 16S ribosomal RNA
Rfam family: Bacterial small subunit ribosomal RNA
Source: RNAcentral
UACGUAGGGGGCUAGCGUUGUCCGGAAUCAUUGGGCGUAAAGAGCGUGUAGGCGGUCCGGUAAGUCCGCUGUGAAAGCCGGGGGCUCAACCCUCGAAUGCCGGUGGAUACUGUCGGGCUAGAGUGCGGAAGAGGCGAGUGGAAUUCCUGGUGUAGCGGUGAAAUGCGCAGAUAUCAGGAGGAACACCGAUGGCGAAGGCAGGUCUCUGGGCCAACACUGACGCUCAUGCACGAAAGCGUGGGGAGCAAACAGG